This 85-nucleotide transfer RNA is filed under the name Planctomycetota bacterium. RNAcentral's name for it is "Planctomycetes bacterium (bioreactor metagenome) tRNA-Leu". It matches the Rfam family "tRNA". Rfam says of the family: Transfer RNA (tRNA) molecules are approximately 80 nucleotides in length. Their secondary structure includes four short double-helical elements and three loops (D, anti-codon, and T loops). The record is from RNAcentral. Lineage: Bacteria; Pseudomonadati; Planctomycetota.
GCCGGGGUGGCGGAAUUGGCAGACGCACCAGCUUGAGGGGCUGGCGGGACCUAGUCUCGUGGGGGUUCAAAUCCCCCCCCCGGCA